This is a long non-coding RNA of Bufo gargarizans (Asiatic toad), 337 nucleotides long. RefSeq lists it as uncharacterized. The transcript has 2 exons. The record is from RefSeq and is a predicted model, not a curated record. Lineage: Eukaryota; Metazoa; Chordata; Amphibia; Anura; Bufonidae.
CUAGUCUCCCCACUACUCUCUACAGAGCGCUCCCCCAGUCCCACCACUACUCUCUAUAGAGCGCUCCCCCAGUCCCACCACUACUCUCUACAGAGCGCUCCCCUAGUCUCCCCACUACUCUCUACAGAGCGCUCCCCCAGUCCCACCACUACUCUCUAAAGAGAGUAUACCACCCAUACAGGAGACAGGACUACUGCCAUAUACCACCCAUACAGGAGACAGGACUACUGCCAUAUACCACCCAUACAGGAGACAGGACUACUGCCAUAUACCACCCAUACAGGAGACAGGACUACUGCCAUAUACCACCCAUACAGGAGACAGGACUACUGCCAUA